RNAcentral lists this long non-coding RNA (567 nucleotides) under Homo sapiens (human). Its description in RNAcentral is "non-protein coding lnc-CDC42SE2-1:10". Lineage: Eukaryota; Metazoa; Chordata; Mammalia; Primates; Hominidae. The record is from RNAcentral.
CGAGCGCGCUGGGGAGCGCAGCUGCAGGCGUUGGGGCGGCAGGAGCCGCGGAGCCGGCGCUGAGAGGGGCUGCGGCCGGAGCGGGCGGCUGAGACAAAGGCGACGAUAGGGCCAGAUUUGAGUGUGUGAAUUUUUGAGUGAAACCUGGAACCCAAAUGAGAAGAAAUCUGCAAGGAAUAACUACUGACAGUGAAUCUGCGGUCAUCUGUAUGCAUAAUAUGGAAUGUUCUUAACCCAGAAGUAGCUGAAUGUGUUACUCCAUUGCUGAGGAGUGAUAGAUUUUAGGCUGUUUCUUCAAAGUUUGCAGCAAAUUACCUGUUUUUGCUAUAGCAGAAUAAUGCUAUUUUGCCAUUUUAAUUCUCGUAACAAAAAAGCAUCUUAUAUCAAUACAAGACUAUCUGUUAUAGUCCCUGGGUCAAGACAACAAUUUUUAUACCUUCGUCGUGGUUCAGAAAGGAGUCUCUGUAGAACCAGAAGCAAAGAAAGGAAACAAUCCAAAUUUUUCUUUAUUAAAUCGACUGUGUAAGAUACUUGACUUCCAGGAACAAAAACACGGUGAAAUAAUAA